RNAcentral lists this unclassified non-coding RNA (155 nucleotides) under plant metagenome. RNAcentral's name for it is "partial contains small subunit ribosomal RNA and internal transcribed spacer 1". The stretch from base 1 to 46 matches the Rfam family "Eukaryotic small subunit ribosomal RNA", at positions 1786 to 1831 of the family's 1831-position model. The record is from RNAcentral.
AAGUCGUAACAAGGUUUCCGUAGGUGAACCUGCGGAAGGAUCAUUAUGAUUGGCUUGCCGGCCUCAUGACCCUUCUACCCUUCUGCUGAACCGAUGCCCUCCGGGCGUUUUUUCAAACAUUGUGUGACGAACGUGAAAAUGAUAAUAAAAUAAAA